This 71-nucleotide transfer RNA is filed under the name Candidatus Azambacteria bacterium. Its description in RNAcentral is "tRNA-Gly". It matches the Rfam family "tRNA". Rfam says of the family: Transfer RNA (tRNA) molecules are approximately 80 nucleotides in length. Their secondary structure includes four short double-helical elements and three loops (D, anti-codon, and T loops). The record is from RNAcentral. Lineage: Bacteria; Candidatus Azamiibacteriota.
GCGGAUAUAGUUUAAUGGCAGAAUACGUCCUUGCCAAGGAUGUGAUCGGGGUUCGACUCCCCGUAUCCGCA